UUAACCUACGGGGGGCAGCAGUGGGGAAUAUUGCACAAUGGGGGAAACCCUGAUGCAGCGACGCCGCGUGAAGGACGAAGUAUUUCGGUACGUAAACUUCUAUCAGCAGGGAAGAAAAUGACGGUACCUGACCAAGAAGCCCCGGCUAACUACGUGCCAGCAGCCGCGGUAAUACGUAGGGGGCAAGCGUUAUCCGGAUUUACUGGGUGUAAAGGGAGCGUAGACGGUGCAGCAAGUCUGAUGUGAAAGGUCGGGGCCCAACCCCGGGACUGCAUUGGAAACUGUUGAACUGGAGUACAGGAGAG
RNAcentral lists this ribosomal RNA (305 nucleotides) under uncultured bacterium. Its description in RNAcentral is "bacterial SSU rRNA". It matches the Rfam family "Bacterial small subunit ribosomal RNA", at positions 334 to 656 of the family's 1533-position model. The record is from RNAcentral.